ACUCCUACGGGAGGCAGCAGUGGGGAAUAUUGCACAAUGGGGGAAACCCUGAUGCAGCCAUGCCGCGUGUGUGAAGAAGGCCUUCGGGUUGUAAAGCACUUUCAGUAGGGAGGAAGGUAGUGUAGUUAACACCUGCAUUAUUUGACGUUACCUACAGAAGAAGCACCGGCUAACUCCGUGCCAGCAGCCGCGGUAAUACGGAGGGUGCGAGCGUUAAUCGGAAUUACUGGGCGUAAAGCGCAUGCAGGCGGCCUGUUAAGUCAGAUGUGAAAGCCCGGGGCUUAACCUCGGAACUGCAUUUGAAACUGGCAGACUAGAGUACUGUAGAGGGGGGUAGAAUUUCAGGUGUAGCGGUGAAAUGCGUAGAGAUCUGAAGGAAUACCGGUGGCGAAGGCGGCCCCUGGACAGAUACUGACACUCAGAUGCGAAAGCGUGGGGAGCAAACAGGAUUAGAUACCCUGGU
Molecule: ribosomal RNA, 463 nt
Filed under: uncultured bacterium
Lineage: Bacteria
Description: bacterial SSU rRNA
Rfam family: Bacterial small subunit ribosomal RNA
Source: RNAcentral